AUUUCUUAUUUAUAUAGUUUAAUUAAAAACAUUACUUUUUCAAAGUAAAAAUAUUUUUUUUAUAA
RNAcentral lists this transfer RNA (65 nucleotides) under Phengodes sp. UPOL 000M29. Its description in RNAcentral is "tRNA-Glu". Lineage: Eukaryota; Metazoa; Arthropoda; Insecta; Coleoptera; Phengodidae. The record is from RNAcentral.